Cyclopterus lumpus (lumpfish) is the source of this 2051-nucleotide RNA transcript. It is a transcript of the gene named protein S100-A14-like, with no coding region annotated. NCBI's taxonomy places the organism in Eukaryota, Metazoa, Chordata, Actinopteri, Perciformes, Cyclopteridae. The record is from RefSeq and is a predicted model, not a curated record. The transcript has 2 exons.
UGUGUGCGUGUGUGUCUGUGUGUACGUGUGUGUGCGUGUGUGUGUGUGUGUGUGUGUGUGUGUGUGUCUAGUGGGAGGACUCUCUCUCGUCUCUGAGUCUUUUCUCUCGGUGAGUUGUCGGAGUUUCUUUUGGUGACCAAACUGCACAGAUGACGACUGAGGUCAGAUAAUCGAUCACAUAUUGAUAACAGGAUCAGGUCAGAUAGUCGAUCACAUAUUGAUAACAGGAUCAGGUCAGAUAAUCGAUCACAUAUUGAUAACAGGAUCAGGUCAGAUAAUCGAUCACAUAUUGAUAACAGGAUCAGGUCAGAUAAUCGAUCACAUAUUGAUAACAGGAUCAGGUCAGAUAAUCGAUCACAUAUUGAUAACAGGAUCAGGUAAGAUAAUCGAUCACAUAUUGAUAACAGGAUCAGGUCAGAUAAUCGAUCACAUAUUGAUAACAGGAUCAGGUCAGAUAAUCGAUCACAUAUUGAUAACAGGAUCAGGUCAGAUAAUCGAUCACAUAUUGAUAACAGGAUCAGGUCAGAUAAUCGAUCACAUAUUGAUAACAGGAUCAGGUCAGAUAAUCGAUCACUGUUCUCUUGAAGCUCACGAGCUGCUCGUGAAGUAUCGAUCUCAGUAGAAACCAAGCAGACGGUGCGUUCAUGGACACUAAGGAAGUCCGGGGCACACGUUGACUCCCAUUUCAACAUAUACAUAUUAACUACAUAUACAAUCUAAAUGUAGAAGUACUCAGAUUAGUAGUAUAACUGUGAAACAAGUCCUGCAUUCAAAAUCAUGACCUUAUAUAUUCUAUAAUGUAAUAUAUUAGUUUAUUAAUAAUCGGAAUAUAUGCAAAGAGCUAAAGCUGUCAGAUAAAUGUAGAGCAGUAGAAAGUAAAUGUUUAAUUUGAGAUGUAGAAGAGUAUAAUUUCUAAAGUGAAAUACUAGUACCUCAAAAGUAAGUGGAGUACUUGAGUACAUGUACUGCCUCUGUACGUGAAAUCAGAUUUAAUGUUGAAUCAGAAGCUUUUUAAAGUGUGAAACAUUCAACGUGUUGAGCAAAGGGUUCCAGUUCAGAUUAACGACUGGUCCCAGUUCAGUUCACACCUUCAGCAAACAAUCCUGCUCAGAACAGGAAUUACAAGGCUGUACAAAGACUGCUUUUAUUUUGAAAGGUCAACAGAGAAAACAUGACUUUAUUCAAACAAAAUACUUUUUAAAUGUUAACUUUUAUUUACUUAAAUGACCGUUUUGCGUCUAUUUUCACAUCGUUUCACUAUAAGCCACGCCCACUACGAUGACGUCACAUCGAUUAAACCAACAGGAAGAUUUGUGGAGAAAUCUUAUGAUUUAAUAAACAAUGUUCCACAAAGUCAAAGCAGGCUGAUAUAUACAUAUAUAUAUAUAUAUGUAUAUAUAUAUAUAUAUAUAUAUAUACAUAUAUAUAUAUAUAUAUAUAUAUAUAUAUAUAUAUAUAUAUAUAUGUAUAUAUAAACACAUUCACCACAAACUUAACUCCUCGCACUUUAAUCUGAAGAUCUGAGGCUGAGAACCUUAAAUGUUUGUGAAGACUUUGACUCAGGAGGUCUGAGGUCUGAGAGCCGGUCUGGGAUCAGCAGGUUUCUGUUGGAUAGCGUCUGAGCUGCCGCCCUGUUGCGCAAGACAGUUCUGAGUCCUCAGAGGUCUGACCUCCGUGAAACAGCCUGAGGCCCCCCCCCCCCCCUCCGGGGGCCCAUUCUUCUCUUAUCAUCUCAGAGUUUGAGGGAGGAACUUCUCUCAGGUUUCAUCUGUGAGCCGGGACGACGUUUGGGAGACUCUGGAUCUGAAGGUUCAGCCAAAGUUUGACACCUUCUGGGGCCAAACGUGAGGCUUUGAGGGCCACGGAGGACAUGUGGGGAGAAUGGAACAUUAGUUUUGACAACGUUUGGGUUUUUGGACCUUUAUAAGCAAAGCAGAUUUUGUAGAUUAAAGAUAAAUUAAUUAUCCUCUGGUUGUAUAGAAGUCUAUGCUUCAUGUGUUAAAGCUGCAUUCUCUCUCCUAACCACCAGGGGGCGACUCCUCUGGUUGUAU